This 366-nucleotide ribosomal RNA is filed under the name Triticum aestivum (bread wheat). RNAcentral's name for it is "partial small subunit ribosomal RNA". Lineage: Eukaryota; Viridiplantae; Streptophyta; Magnoliopsida; Poales; Poaceae. The record is from RNAcentral.
AUGGAUAAGACCAAUAUAAUCCAUUGGAUUAAUUGGGAAAAGCUAUCAAAGCCAAAAAAAGAUGGAGGUAUAGGUUUUUGGAACCUGCACUAUUUCAACCUAGCUAUGUUGGCUAGACAGGCAUGGAAAAUUCUACAGAAUCCCCAUUCCUUGUGCUCCCAAGUGUUGGCUGCCAGAUAUUUCCCAAAUGGAUCAAUGCUUGAGGCUAUUCCUUGUGCAUGUAUUUCCUAUACUUGGCAAAGCAUAAUAAAAGGCAUACAAUUGCUGGAGAAAGGGAUAAUAUGGAGAGUGGGAAACGGGGAAAGGAUCAAAAUAUGGACUGGUCCGUGGAGGAAACACACGGAGGCCCAAUACACCAAAAGGUAA